ACACAAAGGAUGAUUUUGCCUCAAUUAGAAAUGAAAGAAGUGUUGAACUAGAAAAUUGCAAAAUUAGAGACUCAAGCUGCACAACCCAAAGAAAUGCUAGAUCAGAAAAUAACAUGGGAGAUUAAAGCUGCACAACCCACAAUCCAUAAACCUGCAAUUUCUUGCAGCAAUGGGAAUAAAUUGAGCUUACUAAUUCAAGAGGACCAUGAUUUUUAGUUCUAUUCUUUUGUUUUCCUAAUUUCCAUGAAGUUAAUG
Molecule: unclassified non-coding RNA, 255 nt
Filed under: Hevea brasiliensis (rubber tree)
Lineage: Eukaryota; Viridiplantae; Streptophyta; Magnoliopsida; Malpighiales; Euphorbiaceae
Source: RNAcentral